UACGUAGGGGGCAAGCGUUGUCCGGAUUUAUUGGGCGUAAAGCGCGUGUAGGCGGCUAGACAGGUCCGCUGUGAAAACUCGAGGCUCAACCUCGAGAUGUCGGUGGAAACCGUGUGGCUAGAGUCCGGAAGAGGAGAGUGGAAUUCCUGGUGUAGCGGUGAAAUGCGCAGAUAUCAGGAAGAACACCAAUGGCGAAGGCAGCUCUCUGGGACGGUACUGACGCUGAGACGCGAAAGCGUGGGGAGCGAACAGG
RNAcentral lists this ribosomal RNA (253 nucleotides) under uncultured bacterium. RNAcentral describes it as "partial 16S ribosomal RNA". It matches the Rfam family "Bacterial small subunit ribosomal RNA", at positions 524 to 776 of the family's 1533-position model. The record is from RNAcentral.